UAGGAGUUAGUCUCAAUAUAAAUUUUUAUUUAAGAUCAAUUUUAUAGUGUUAGCAGAAUUAGAUAUUUUGUGUUUUGCUUGACGAACAAAUAAACUCAACUCUAUAAAUAUGGAGUAACCCAUAUUAUUGUAAAAGUACACUUACUUGCCGUUGUAAAGAAUAAAUUUUUCAGUUUGAAAACAGAGAGAAACUCUGCAGAAAUUUCUUCUUCUUUUUCCUUAUUCGAAAAUUUAAUCUCUCUUUCUUCUCUGAUUCAAAUUUAUUUCUUUUCAUUACCAUUGUGCAUCAAAAUCUUGCAAACAAGGUUGGUUGAUUCACUCGACUAAAGAGUAAAAAACAAUAUGAGUAAUCAACUAGAAAUAUUGAUUCUUGUUCAUCAAGAUUCGGUUCGGAAUUCUCCAUAGAUUUUGGUGAAUUUCUUGAAGGAAAAUGGUGAAUUUCCAACAUCUGGUAUCUAGAGCAUUGGUUGAGUGAUUCGUCAGAAGGAAAACACGAUGGUGAUGAAUCAUCCCAACGACUAUUUUUCGGCGAGUCUCCCAAUUCUGAAGAAUCAUAAUUAUGAGAAUUGGUGCAAGCAGAUAAAGAUUGUCUUUUGCUAUCAAGAUCUUUGGGAUCUUGUGAAGGAUGGAGUGACAUCGCUUGCAGCAAACACGACGAAUGAAGAAAAGGCUGCACACAAAGAAUACAAGAAGAAAGAUUAUAAGACUCUCUUUAUGAUCCAUCAAUGCAUUUAUGCGGAAAAUUUUGAAAAGGUUAAUGAUGUUGAAUCAGCGAAAGAAGCAUGGGAAAUUCUUAUAAAAUCAUUUGGAAGCGCAUAAAAGGUGAAAGAAAUGACGUUACAAACUCACAAAAGAACGUAUGAAUUGCUUCAAAUGGAAGACAAUGAAAGCUUAACUGAUUUUUUCAUUAGGAUUACAAAACUGGUGAAUCAAAUUUAGGUAUAUGGAGAAGUGUUGACAUCAAGAUCAGCUGUUUCAAAGAUCUUGAGGUCAUUGGUUCCAAAGUUCGACCACAUGGUAGUAGCCAUAGAAGAGUCAAAAUAUUUGUCAACAUUGACAAAGGAAGAGCUUCAAGGCACACUUUAAUCUCAUGAACAAAUAAUGGUUGAAAGAGCAGUAGGAAAGUCGAAGAGUGAUGUGGCUUUGCAGAUGCAAUCAGCAUGAGAAAAUAAAGGCAAAGGGAAAUGGUUCAACAAUAAAAGAAUAAGAGGCUAUAAUAAUUCGACUGGACGAAAUCAACAAGAAGGAGGCUGGUCGAAUCAAAGAAAUAUCUCAUACCAAAGCAACCAAAAAGGUGGUGGUGCAGGUAGAGGAAGAGGUGGUGGUCAAAAACCUGAAAAAAGGCACAUUCAAUGUUUCAAUUGUUAGAAGUAUGGUCACUACUCUAGUGAUUGUCCUAAAAAAUAAAAGAAUCAAGAUAAUGAUGCAAAGUUUGCAAAGCAUGAAGAAGAAGAAAUGUUGUUGAUGGUCACAACAAGGGAGGAAGAAAGAUUCCAGGAAAAAUAGUACUUGAACUCAGGAUGCUCAUCACACAUGACUGGUAGGAAAGAUUAGUUUGUCAACAUGAAACCCUCAAUGAAGAAUAUGGUGAAAUUUGUAAAUGACAAUACUCUAGCAGCUGACGGUAUUGGUGAUGUUUUGAUUAUGAGGAAAUAUGGAAAAAGGUCAGUAACUUUCAAUGUACUGUACAUACCCGUCAUGAAAAGUAAUUUGCUCGGCAAAUGGAAGUUGGUUGAAAAGAAAUACAAAGUGUCGAUCGAAGAGAAAAUGAUUAGAGUUCUCAAUUCAGGUGAAAGUUUAAUCUUGAAGGCACCUAUGUCUCAGAAUAGAACCUACAUGAUUGAACUUAAUAUGAUGGAGCAUAAGUGCCUUGCAACUACAACUAGAGGGGAUGAAUAAAUAUGGCACUAUAGACUUGGUCAUCUCAACUUCAAAGACAUCAUAGAUCUGAAGAGAAGAGAUAUGGUUUCAGGGUUAACAUAAAUUGACAUUUCAAAUGAAGUAUGUGAGAAAUGUGUGUAGAGAAAGCAACACAAGAACAUCUCCAGCAAGGAUACAUGAAGCAAGUCGAAGGCAAUCCUUGAAGUCAUAUACUCGGAUAUGUGUGGUCCUCUCUAGGUGGAUUCUAUUGGAGGUAACAGAUACUUUCUCACAUUCAUAGAUGAUUUAAGUUGAAAAUUAUGUACUUACCUGAUCAAGAAGAAGAGUGAAGUGAUCGAGGUAUUUUCCAAUUUUAAAUUUAUGGUCGAGAGACAAAAUGGUCGAAAGCUCAAUAUUCUGAAGACUGAUGGUGGUUGAGAAUAUGUGUCGAUAGACUUCUAGAUGUUAUGUGAGAAAGAAAGGAUUGUGCAUUAGGUGGUACCACCCUACACUCCACAACAGAAUGAAACUGCAGAAAAAAGAAUAGAACCAUCAUUAGUAUGGUGAGAAAUAAGUUGAAAGGAAAGCAUCUACCCAAAGAAUUAUGGGGAGAAGUUGUAUCGAUAACAACAUAUAUUUUGAACAGAUGUUCAAAGAAGAAGCUAGAAGGAAUCACACCAGAAGAAUGUUGGUCUGGUGUCAAGCCUAGCUUGACUCAUAUGAAAGUAUUUGGAUCCAUAACACGUAGACAUGUGCCAGAUCAGUUGAGAAGAAAACUUGAUGACAAGUCGAGUCAGAUGAUCAUAAUAGGGUAUUAUUCGACUGGAGGUUACAAGUUGUUUGACCCAAUGAAUAAGCAACUAGUGAUCGGCAAGGACAUGAUCAUAGAUGAGCUUAAAUAAUGGGAUUUGACUAAAAAUGUCAAGAAAUAUUCAGUGAGAAUAUUAUGUGAAGAACUAGCAAGUGAAGUUAAAAGAGAAGUUUGACAAGAAGAAGUCAAAUGUCAAGCAAGCACAAGAAGACCUUAGAGAACAAGAAACAUGUCUACAAGGUUACAGGAAUGUGUUUCUUUCAAUUACUAUCGUGCACCGGAAUCUUGCAACUUAGUUUGGUUGAUUCACUCGACUGAAGAGUGAAGAACAGGAGGAGUAAUCAAUCAGAAAGAUUGAUUCUUGUUCAUCAAGAUUCGGUUCGGAAUUCUCAAUAGGUUUUAGUGAAUUUCUUGAAGGGAAAUUGGUGAAUUUCCAACAAAAUGAACAUCAAAAUUUUAAAUUUCAAGUUUCUUGUGAAUAAUAACAAAUUAUCGUAUACAAAUUUAUUAAGGGACAUUAUAGAUAAAAAUAUAGGUUAAAAAAGGAAUAUCUCAUCGAUUUUCUAAGAAAAAUGUGAGAUAGAGACCAAAAUUAUUUGAAUUUAAAAUAGGGGACUAAUUUCUAAAAUUUCUAAGAAGAUGUAGUGAUAAACAUAUGAUAUUUAUUGAUUUGUUGACAUUCUUCAAAUGGAAAUAUGACUACAUGGUUAGACAUAUAUAUCAGUAAAUAGAGAAAAGUAUGUUGUCAAUCUUUUCAAGAAAGAAUGUUCAUGUAGAAUGUGGAUGCUGCCAGGACUGCCAUGCUGUCAUGCAUGAAGGAUCAACAUUUACAAAUUGAUGAUUUUGUACCUGACUGUUAUAAGAAGGAAUUCUAUGAAACUUUAUAUUCACCAGUUAUUUAUCCAGUUAAUGGGGAAGCUUUGUGGACUAAAUCUGAUGUUGUUGAUCUCCAUCCACCACUAAUAAAGAGACAACCUGGAAGGCCCAAGAAAAAGAGGAAUAGAAAAUUUGGAGAAAUGGUGAGGGAUGAGACACACUUGAAAAGGGCAAACCAUGGAAUCAAAUGCAGUCUUCGCCACAAGGAAGGUCACAAUAAGGCCACCUCUAAACUGCCACAACCAGUAGUACCUCCAACUCAGGUAGAAGAAGGAGUCUCAACUCAGGAACCACAAGCAAUAAUUCCAACAGCUACCACAACCAACAUUUUCAAUUCAGCCACCACAACCAACAAUUUCAAGUCAACCACCACCCAAAAAGAAAAGAAAAAACUUCAAAAGGGUGGGAAGCCUGCUUCAAGUCAACUUUGAUGUUUGUUGUGAUGUUUGUUAUACCUUAUAAAAGAUUUUUGUAAUAUUACUUUAGUGCCUUAUAGUGGCUUAUUGACAAUGACUUAUAAUUCCUUUUUGUAAUGUUAUGUUAGUGCCUUAUAAUGGCUUAUUGACAAUGGUUUGUAAUGCCUUUUUAUAAUGUUAUUGAUAUUUCUUAUAGUGUAAUGAUAAUGGCUUAUAAUGCCUUUUUGUAUCAUUUUUUUGGAAUUUUAUAGAUAUGCAUUAUAACAGGUUAUAUUUUGUUCCAACUUUUAUACCAGUUAUGUAUCAGUGUUAAAACAAAGAAUAAUGUACAAACAUAACACUUUGUUAAAACAGACACUGACAUUCUUCAUUAAAUAAACAGAAGACUACAUUCAUAUUAUGAAAACAAAAUACUAAAUUAUCCUAAUCCUAAUUGAAAUACAUUGUUAAAAACACAAGGUUCAACCCUAAGCUCAACAUCCCAACCAUAAUGGACAUUUUCGACCAUCCUUUAGUGUGGAUAACCUCAUUCUUCAACUUUUUAAUUUUAUUCUUUUGUCUUUCAAGCUUCAAAUCCCUUUCAUCAACACAUUCAUCCCCUAACCACUUGAAGAAAUUACACCCCUUGUCCAUGUGAUUUUUAUAAUUUCUACAACCCCAAAAUUUUCUCUCAUAGUUGAAAUUGUUCACAUCACUAACAAUACAAAUAACACUAUCAUCUUGGAAAAAACACUUCAUUAUCUUGUUUCUACGACACACAUAUUCAGAUGUACCAAAGCUUGUUAUUGAAGCACUGCUUGCAUUCUUAGACAUUGAAGCACCGGUGGAAGAUGGAGGAAUUCGAAUGCACAAUGAAAGAUGGAAGAUGGAAGAUGGAUGUAUGAACAGUGAAAAAUGGAGGAGGAAGAUGAAGAUUGGAAAAACACAAACCCUAAAUGGUUUAUGACAUAAUAACUGAGCGUUAACUUGAAUGAUUGCAGACCUGACAUUGCCACCUGAGUCAUACUUAACAUUUUUUCAUCCUAACUAACGGAAAGGACCAAAUAUUUUAACUAAAGAGAAGUUAAGGUACCAAUACGUAACGUUUUUUAGUUAGGGGACCAACACGAAACUUCGUUUAAAGUUAAGGGAUCUAAGGACUAAUUAUGCAUAUAUUUAUUAUAGUAUAUUAAGACCAUAGUGUGAAGAUUAAUUAGAGUUUUUAUUAUUUUAAAAUUGAAUAUUCUCACUUUUUUCACUCAUGUUUAAAUUCAUAUUAACUAAUUAGGUAAAUGGUUAAUUAUCUAUUUUUUUAAAUAGAAUUUUAAUUAAUUUUUUAAAAUUGUAUUUAAUCACUUAAUCUAUUAAAAUAUUUAAUGUAAUAAAAUAGUUAAUAUAAUUAAUAUAAAUAUGUCUAUAUAAUAAUUAUUAGAGAAUAAUAAAUAAAUAAUAUUUAUAUAAAAAUAUAUUCCAACAAUUAUUCAAUUAAAUAAUAUGUUUUAAUAAUUAUUUUAAAAUUCUUUAAGCGCGUAUUUGAAUUUAUUUAUUUUAAUAUUUCAACUUUAUAACCGGGUCUAACACUUUAGGGUGCCAUACCCACCAUUUAUUUAGAGAAAAGAUAUAAUAAAAAAAUAGUUUUUGUAUGUGUAUUGUUUUAUUUGAGUCAAACCCAUUUGAUAAGUGAUUAAAGAGAAAUGAUAUGUGUAAUGUUUCAGGUUUCUUUGCUUUUUAGGAAUUAUGGUAUUAUUUUAUUUUAGGGUUUUUCUUAUUUUGCUUAGUUUAAUUUAUUAUUAAUUAAGUAUAUAUAUAUAUAUAUAUUUUAUUUUAUUUUAUUCAACUUAACUUAGGUAUUAGAAAUUAGAAAUUUUAUUUUAGGUAUUAUGUUGUACUAUUUUGUUUUUUAUUUUAAUUAUUUUAUUUUAAUUUAUUGUAAUUAUUUAAUUUAUUAAAAUUAUUCUUGAAAUAAGGUUGAAACUAAACGUACUAUUAUAUUGUGUUAAUAUGUCUAUAAUUGUUCUCGUUUUAUUUAGUUUCUAAUGAAUUUUUAAAAUAUGUAUUUUAUGAAAUUGUGAAUAUAUAGUUAUGUAUGACUUAUUUAUAAAAUUUAAUUUUAUAUUAUUAAUUUAUUUAAUAAUCGGUUCAACAGUAAAUUUAAUUGAUUGAAUCAAUUGAAUUUUAAAUCAAAAGUCUUGUCCGUUUGAAUUUGUUUUUAAAACAUUAGUUAAAAUAAUAUAUUUAUCAUAAAAAAUUAAUAGCUUUUUAAUUUCUUAUAAUUAGUUUAUUAAUUUUUUGUUAUUAAUCUAUAAUAUAAGAGAAUUAGUUGUUCUAAAAAAGACAUCAAUGCUCUUGCCUUUAAAUCUGCCACCUCUUUAAUUUUGGAUAUUCUUUGUCCAAAUACUACUUUUUCCAACCAAUGUUAUGUUUUGGUUUGAUGCUCACUAAUUAUUUCAUGAAACAAACUGUUUUCAUUUGUUUUCACUAGCUCUUCCAACUAAAAGACUAAUUCAACUUCAAAAGUAACAUUUUGUCAAAUCAAUCUAUGACACUUCCAUCACAAAUUUUCAUUCUCAAUGUUGCAUCACGCACACACAGACACACACUUCAUCCUUCCCAUUAAUAUAUCUUCUCUCGUUAGCGUGAUUCUUUUUCUCUCUUACAUUCAAUAGGUUUUUGAAACCCUUUCUCUCUCUGACAAUUUCUUGGCUCUACAUUUCUUCUUUCUCCAAAGAAUUUCUUCAUUCUCUAGCAUAAUUUCUCCCUUCUCUGUGUUUCAGUUUAGAGACUUACAAGUGAUGUUUUGUUUUGAAUUCUUAUGUUAUUUUGAUUCUUUGUCCCAAUAUUUUUUCAGUCAUGGUUUACAAAAAUUCCUUAUACCAAAAGUUAUUGCAAACCUAUUUUCAUAAACUGAUUUACAUAUUCUUUGUUGCAAACCACAACUUUUUAUCAUUAACGAAAAAUGCUUUAUUGCUUCAUGGUUAAUGAUUUGUUUGAUUCAAUAUUUUCUUGAGUGAUGUUUUGGACGUGUUUUUUUAAGGUUAUUGUUUAUCUUCAACCUUAUACUAGAAUCAAAGAAUUAGUUUCACUCUAGGAUCUGUAAGCUAGGGUUCGAUUUCAAAAUCAAUGCAAAUUUUUGUUAAGUAUUUUGUUAACUACUUAGAUUUAAUUUCUCAUUAUUUUGUUUUUUCUUUUGUGAUUUUUCUUUAUAAUGUUGUUACGUUUUUCAAAUUUAGUUGUUCGAUGUUGGUUGUUUGUUGACUCAUUAUGUAAUUUGUUUCUCACAAUGCACUUGAUUCGACAUGCUCUUUAUUUUUACUAUUUUUUUAAAUUAAUUUUUAGGUGAUUAAAGGUUAAUGUUUGGUUGUUUGAAGGAGAGGUCGAAUGUUUGAAGGUUUUCAGGGGAAGGAGAUGAAGGUGUGUGAAAAAUUGUGGUAUUUUCUAGGUAAGGGAUGAAGAAAUGGAUGAAUAUAAGGGUACUGGGGUUUGAGAUUAUGAAGGAUUGAAGGUGUUUUUUGGGGGAAAUGGAAGAACAGGUUGAAUGUAUAAAGAUUAUGGUGAAGAAUAAUGAAUGAGGUAAAGAUUUCUGAAAAAGAGACGGGUUCCGUUUCACGAAAUUGAUGGUUUUCUAGGGAAUAUUAUGAAGGUUUGAUGAGGGUUUUCUUGUAUAAGUUUGAGGGAACGGGAGAUGAUGAGAGAGAAAAAUUCAAAUAAAAUAAAAUAUAGUUCCUUUUCUUGUGAUUAUCAGGACAGGAAAGAGAUAAGGGAAAUCCAUAGGGGUCAAAUUGGACGUUGCCACGAGUGAAUAUGCGUAGGGAUGAGGAUAUGACCAAAAGAUGGAAAUAGCAGUUAACACAAGGAUGACUUUCUUAUGAUUUGAUAUUGAUCAAUUUAAAAACACAUUGAAUAUGAAAACUGAAUUUUAAUUUACUCCUAUUAUUUUAUAGUUCUCUGUGUCUCUCUGUAUAGUGAAUUAUUUUAUGCUGCAAAGACAGUUACUCAAUGUUUAAGGGAGUUCAAAUUAUGUGUUUAUUUUUUAUCCAACACUUCCCCAUCUCAAGAAUUCUUGCAUGGCUUAAGAGACAUAGAUGUGUUUACUAUAUAUAACUUUUAUCUUUUUCUUUAAUACAUGCUUGAAAAUUAUGAUGAAAUUUUGCGGCCAUCUCAUAUAUCUGGAUAUUUAUACAUUAGAAUUGUACUUACGUUCCAAACCUCUAUUAGUUUACUUUGCAUCGAUCUAUUUGUCAUUGCCUAACAGAUUAGUACUAACUGGAUUUUUCUUUUUUGCUAUAGAGAUGGGUGGCACUACCGAGUGAACCUCCAAGAAUUAAUGAUACCGAUGUAGAUGAUUGGCUUCUUCGCAUUUUUGUUCUUCAGGGUGAAUGUUUAUUCUUAUAUUUGUUCUAUAUAAGUAGUUAACUAACUUCUAUUUUAUAUGCUCAACUGUAGUUUUCUUCACACUUAAAUGCCUUAAUCUGAAGAUCUUUCAAUGUCAAAACAAGAAACACUUUUAAUUAUUGUACUUAAUCAAUAUUGGAUGCGAGUUUCGCCAACAUAUGGCUUCCAAUAGUUUUUGCCAAAAGAAAUUUUGUGGAUUGACAUUUCUUUAUACAUGUUUUCUAAGUGCAGUUCAUGUAGAAAUGGUGAUUCAACCACAAUCUCUGAUAACGCGAAAAUGUAUCGUAUAUUUGACUUAAUAUGCACUGCUUUUACUUGAUUAACACUUAGUAUUUUAUGUUUAUUUCAGGUAUUUAUCGAAUAAAAGAUGUAUAGACAAGUAAAGAGGAAAAUAGAAAAAAGAAAAGAAAAAGAGAAGAAAAUGGAGCAAAAUAGGAAUGGUGGGCCCACCACACAUGGAAGCAUGGCGCCCACCACACCAAAUGAAUGGUGGCGCCCACCACUUGGAUAUGUGGCGCCCGUCACAUGGCUUUAGGAAGUGGUGGUGCCCACCUCACACAAUGUGGCGCCCGCCACAAGGCCUUAAGAAGUGGUGGUGCCCAUCUCACAUAAUGUGGCGCCCGCCACGUAGACCACAUUAGGAUUGUGACAGCCGCCAUCAACCCGGUCUUCCUUAUUCUUCUCCACACUUUUUGCCACGACCUUCUCUUACGUUUUCAACUAACCACUCCCCACUAGUAGAUAUCCAAUGCUACGUUUAAGGAGAGUGGGGAGUAUAUAUGGGAAGGUUAGUUUUUACGAAAAGGAUGCAUUUUUCUAGUCAGAUUGUUGUUGUUAGAUUUUUUUUCUUAGGCAGUUUCCUACUUUGGAAAAGUAAUAGAUUCUCCACAUCAGGGACUAUUGCAAUUAUUGUUUAAGUAUCUGAAUUUGAUUGUAACGGUGUACUGGAUUGCCAAAGCAUGACGACAUUGUUUAAUUUGAAGAAUCAGUAUUCAUUCCAAGUUCUCGAUUUAUAUUCCAGGUUUUAUUUUAAUUGCCAUUUUAA
RNAcentral lists this long non-coding RNA (9379 nucleotides) under Lathyrus oleraceus (garden pea). RNAcentral describes it as "Pisum sativum (pea) long non-coding RNA (PSAT_LNC019919)". The record is from RNAcentral. Lineage: Eukaryota; Viridiplantae; Streptophyta; Magnoliopsida; Fabales; Fabaceae.